GGCGGACGGGUGAGUAACACGUGGGAACGUGCCCUUCGGUUCGGGAUAACUCAGGGAAACUUGAGCUAACACCGGAUACGCCCUUACGGGGAAAGGUUACGCCGAAGGAUCGGCCCGCGUCUGAUUAGCUUGUUGGUGGGGUAACGGCUCACCAAGGCGACGAUCAGUAGCUGGUCUGAGAGGAUGAUCAGCCACACUGGGACUGAGACACGGCCAGACUCCUACGGGAGGCAGCAGUGGGGAAUCUUGCGCAAUGGGCGAAAGCCUGACGCAGCCAUGCCGCGUGAAUGAUGAAGGUCUUAGGAUUGUAAAAUUCUUUCAGCGGGGAAGAUAAUGACGGUACCCGCAGAAGAAGCCCCGGCUAACUUCGUGCCAGCCGCCGCGG
RNAcentral lists this ribosomal RNA (385 nucleotides) under uncultured bacterium. RNAcentral describes it as "bacterial SSU rRNA". It matches the Rfam family "Bacterial small subunit ribosomal RNA", at positions 97 to 520 of the family's 1533-position model. The record is from RNAcentral.